RNAcentral lists this transfer RNA (72 nucleotides) under Camelus dromedarius (Arabian camel). It matches the Rfam family "tRNA". From Rfam's summary of the family: Transfer RNA (tRNA) molecules are approximately 80 nucleotides in length. Their secondary structure includes four short double-helical elements and three loops (D, anti-codon, and T loops). RNAcentral also lists the same sequence under 1 other name. Lineage: Eukaryota; Metazoa; Chordata; Mammalia; Artiodactyla; Camelidae. The record is from Rfam by way of RNAcentral.
GAGAGUAUAGCUCUGUGGUAGAGCACAUGCUUAGCAUGCACGAGGUCCUGGGUUCCAUCCCCAGCACCUCCA